GAUGAACGCUGGCGGCGUGCCUAACACAUGCAAGUCGAACGGGGAUACAUUGGUAGCAAUACUGGUGUAUUCUAGUGGCGGACGGGUGAGUAACGCGUGAGUAACCUACCUUCUAGUGGGGGAUAACAGCUGGAAACAGCUGCUAAUACCGCAUAACGUACAACAGGGGCAUCUCUGUGGUACCAAAGAUUUAUCGCUGGAAGAUGGGCUCGCGUCUGAUUAGCUAGUUGGUAGGGUAAAAGCCUACCAAGGCGACGAUCAGUAGCCGGGCUGAGAGGUUGACCGGCCACAUUGGGACUGAGACACGGCCCAGACUCCUACGGGAGGCAGCAGUGGGGAAUAUUGGGCAAUGGGGGAAACCCUGACCCAGCAACGCCGCGUGAAGGAAGAAGGCCUUCGGGUUGUAAACUUCUUUGACAGGGGACGAAACAAAUGACGGUACCCUGAAAACAAGCCACGGCUAACUACGUGCCAGCAGCCGCGGUAAUACGUAGGUGGCGAGCGUUAUCCGGAAUUACUGGGUGUAAAGGGCGCGUAGGCGGGGAUGCAAGUCAGGUGUGAAAUCUAUGGGCUUAACCCAUAAACUGCACUUGAAACUGUGUCUCUUGAGUGAUGGAGAGGUAAGUGGAAUUCCUAGUGUAGCGGUGGAAUGCGUAGAUAUUAGGAGGAACACCAGUGGCGAAGGCGACUUACUGGACAUUAGCUGACGCUGAGGCGCG
Molecule: ribosomal RNA, 719 nt
Filed under: uncultured Oscillospiraceae bacterium
Lineage: Bacteria; Bacillati; Bacillota; Clostridia; Eubacteriales; Oscillospiraceae
Description: bacterial SSU rRNA
Rfam family: Bacterial small subunit ribosomal RNA
Source: RNAcentral